This 523-nucleotide ribosomal RNA is filed under the name uncultured bacterium. RNAcentral describes it as "bacterial SSU rRNA". It matches the Rfam family "Bacterial small subunit ribosomal RNA", at positions 1 to 523 of the family's 1533-position model. The record is from RNAcentral.
GGGAGAGUUUGAUCCUGGCUCAGAUUGAACGCUGGCGGCAUGCCUUACACAUGCAAGUCGAACGGUAACAGGGAGCUUGCUCCGCUGACGAGUGGCGAACGGGUGAGUAAUGUAUCGGAACGUACCAUUCAGUGGGGGAUAACGAGACGAAAGUUACGCUAAUACCGCAUAUUCUGUGCGCAGGAAAGCAGGGGAUCGCAAGACCUUGCGCUGAUUGAGCGGCCGAUAUCAGAUUAGCUAGUUGGUGAGGUAAAAGCUCACCAAGGCGACGAUCUGUAGCGGGUCUGAGAGGAUGAUCCGCCACACUGGAACUGAGACACGGUCCAGACUCCUACGGGAGGCAGCAGUGGGGAAUUUUGGACAAUGGGGGCAACCCUGAUCCAGCCAUGCCGCGUGAGUGAAGAAGGCCUUCGGGUUGUAAAGCUCUUUCAGCCGGGAAGAAAAUGCAUAGGUUAAUACCCUGUGCGGAUGACGGUACCGGAAUAAGAAGCACCGGCUAACUACGUGCCAGCAGCCGCGGUAA